Non-coding RNA from Odocoileus virginianus texanus, 1581 nucleotides. NCBI's taxonomy places the organism in Eukaryota, Metazoa, Chordata, Mammalia, Artiodactyla, Cervidae. The record is from RefSeq and is a predicted model, not a curated record.
GGGAUUAGCGUGUAUCACUCUACCAAACACACCGUGGUCUCCCGGCCUCACCUGCCUCCCAGAUCAUUAGCUGCAGCUCAGUCGCCACUCUGGCAGAACACUUCCAUGCAGACAAGCGUGGCCUGGAAUCACACCUCAGGGCAUGGGACCUGGCUUCUAGAGCAUCUCCAGGAAGGGGCCAUUGGAAAGCAGAAGAUAGGAGAAAGCUAGCCAGCCAGCUUUCUCUAUCGCCUCUUCCCUUCAAAGGAUGGAUUUCCCACAAAACCUGUCCAGAGAAGUUUUGCCUGGCUAAGCAGGUUUGUCUGAUGCCCCCUUGUGGGCUGCUGUGAAGCCAUGGCCAUCACAAUGAUGGUGCCCCAUCACCAUGCGUGCCUCCCAUCCUUCCCUGCCUUUCUCCCCUUUGCCCUCACUCUCAUUGCCCUGGGACUGUACCUCCUAAAUAAGCAUCAGCACUUCAUCCCUGCCCCAGGCUCUCAUUUCUAGGAACCUCAGGCAAAGAUAACCACUCCAACAAUUAUUGCUUCUAGGCUUCUUUGCGUCUUUCAUAUUUAGGGUACCAGAGAAGACCCAAUCUUUGUGGAAUAGAGUUCAGCUUGAACUGAAACCUCUUGGAUACUGUGGUAGGAAGAAUGCUCAGAUGGCCUCCAAGAGGCUCAGCUCCUCUAGAAUUCCCUCCCCCUCAGAGUGAGGAAGUAGAAUAUGGGGACUUUGAACAAGCUGGCAUAUUACUCCCAUGAGUAUGUUACAUUAUAAGACAUAAGAGUUUUGUGGAUGUUACUGUAGAAGGUCCCUAAUCAACUGACUUUGACUUUGAGUUAAUCAAAGGGGAGAUUAUACUGCAUGGGCCUGAUUUAAACAGGUGAGCCCUUAAAAGGGAUUCAGCCCUUUCUAAGAUCAAAGAGAUUUCUCCUGCUGGCCUUGAAGGUGCAAACUGCCAUGCUGUAGAAGGGCCAUGUGGCAGGGGACGGCAGGCAGGCUCUAGGAGCUACGGGAUUCAGCCAACAAGAGAGCAGGGGCCUCGGUCCUACAGACACAAGUAACAACAGGUAACAACAAUCUGAGAGAGCUUGGGAGCGGAUGUCUUCCUAACUGAGCCUCCAGGACCAAAGAGCUGGCUUCAUGUUCCAGAUGAUGAAUCUAUAAGAAGAUGGAGCCAUCAUCAUCCUGGAUCUCUGAGGACCACAUGGAAGACAGUUGCCCUGAAGAGUCUCUCAGGCCCCUUUUACUUUGUAUGGGGAACUAUAUCUCCAGCUUGGCUGCCACAUUCUCAACAAAGUGGACAAGAGUUUAUGAUGGAACUGUCAAAGGAGUAAAGUCUUAGACCAGAGGAGCUGCAUGGAAAAGAAUGACACAGGCCCCCUGGUAUCCCUGCCCAGGGGUGAUAGAUGGGAUAAGAUUCACACCUAAUGCGGCCCUAAGGAGAAGGAGAGCAAAGGAGGGACAAAUCCUGUGGGCUCUAAAAAGCGCGUCAGAAUGGAGAGCCGCAUUCACCGCAGAUCCAAAAAGCACAUUCCCAAGCUGGGUGGUAAAUUCUGUACUGCCUGCUGUAGAAAUGCAAAUUGCCAUAAUAAAUGCCGAUUA